GUCAACUACCCAUCCCAUAAAUGGGAUGGGCUUGUAGACAACUGCAAGCCGGGUUGACCAGGGUAAGUUAUGGAGCAGAUGGCAAUGCAAAGAAGUAACUACGUGAGCGCUAGGUGGCAGCAGACCCACUCCGGGAUGCUUCCUCAGUCCCGGACACUGGAAGAAGGGGAUCAUGCUGGCAAAAGGCAAAACGCCGAAGGUUUUCUUCUUUCGCGUAAGCGGGUAGGUGGUCGCGCACAUUCCCGAGGGGAGCGAGCC
Methylacidiphilum fumariolicum SolV is the source of this 258-nucleotide non-coding RNA. It matches the Rfam family "HNH endonuclease-associated RNA and ORF (HEARO) RNA". Lineage: Bacteria; Pseudomonadati; Verrucomicrobiota; Methylacidiphilae; Methylacidiphilales; Methylacidiphilaceae. The record is from Rfam.